Molecule: ribosomal RNA, 775 nt
Filed under: uncultured Neocallimastigales
Lineage: Eukaryota; Fungi; Neocallimastigomycota; Neocallimastigomycetes; Neocallimastigales
Description: partial large subunit ribosomal RNA
Rfam family: Eukaryotic large subunit ribosomal RNA
Source: RNAcentral
UAUGUGAUCGUCUCUCGCAUAUCAAUAAGCGGAGGAAAAGAAACUAACAAGGAUUCCCCUAGUAACGGCGAGUGAAGCGGGAAGAGCUCAAAUUUGAAAUCUUAAAGGGUUUCCCUUUACGAAUUGUAGUUUAAAGAAGUGUUUUCUGUUGAGGUUUUGGUAAAAGUUCUUUGGAAUAGGACAUCAUAGAGGGUGAGAAUCCCGUAUUUGACCUUUACUUUCAACUUUGUGAUACACUUUCAAAGAGUCGGAUUGUUUGGGAAUGCAGUCCAAAAUGGGUGGUAAAUUUCAUCUAAAGCUAAAUAUUGGCGAGAGACCGAUAGCGAACAAGUACCGUGAGGGAAAGAUGAAAAGAACUUUGAAAAGAGAGUUAAACAGUACGUGAAAUUGUCAAAAGGGAAGCGUUUGACACCAGUGUUGUUUUUCUGAAAAUCAAUUAAAGAACUGUUUAUGCUAAGCUUGCUUAGACUUUAUCAGCUAUCUGUUUAGUUUUGAGCUUUUCUUUAAUGCACUUUUCAGUUAACAAGUCAACAUCAAUUUCUUUUGCUGUAAAAAAGCUUGAGGAAGGUGGCUUGAGAUUCGUCUUAAGUGUUUAUAGCCUCUUGCCUAUGCAGUCGGAGAGAUUGAGGUCUGCAGCGUAGAUCCUUCGGGGCUAAAUGCAUUUGUGCUAAGUUAUAGCAUUUUAUAGACAACUUGUUGACUAUGAUUUGUCUUGUAGCUUACUCGCUUAUGUUAUUUUACCUACGCUUAGGAUGUUGAGCGCAUGUCUCUCUCU